UACGUAGGUGGCGAGCGUUGUCCGGAUUUACUGGGCGUAAAGGGAGCGUAGGCGGACUUUUAAGUGAGAUGUGAAAUACUCGGGCUCAACUUGAGUGCUGCAUUUCAAACUGGAAGUCUAGAGUGCAGGAGAGGAGAAUGGAAUUCCUAGUGUAGCGGUGAAAUGCGUAGAGAUUAGGAAGAACACCAGUGGCGAAGGCGAUUCUCUGGACUGUAACUGACACUGAGGUACGAAAGCGUGGGGAGCAAACAGG
This 253-nucleotide ribosomal RNA is filed under the name uncultured bacterium. RNAcentral describes it as "partial 16S ribosomal RNA". It matches the Rfam family "Bacterial small subunit ribosomal RNA", at positions 524 to 776 of the family's 1533-position model. The record is from RNAcentral.